UGGUUCAGUGGUAGAAUGCUUGCCUCAUAUGCAUGAGGCCCUGGGUUCGAUUCCUCAG
This 58-nucleotide transfer RNA is filed under the name Dipodomys ordii (Ord's kangaroo rat). It matches the Rfam family "tRNA", at positions 8 to 63 of the family's 71-position model. Rfam says of the family: Transfer RNA (tRNA) molecules are approximately 80 nucleotides in length. Their secondary structure includes four short double-helical elements and three loops (D, anti-codon, and T loops). The record is from Rfam by way of RNAcentral. Lineage: Eukaryota; Metazoa; Chordata; Mammalia; Rodentia; Heteromyidae.